Molecule: long non-coding RNA, 185 nt
Organism: Sphaerodactylus townsendi
Lineage: Eukaryota; Metazoa; Chordata; Lepidosauria; Squamata; Sphaerodactylidae
Exons: 5
Source: RefSeq, a predicted model, not a curated record
GCAAGGAUUAAUGAAUUCAAGGUGUAGAAAAAGAGAUUCCACCUGAACAUCAGGAAAAACCUGCUGACAGUAAGGGCUCUUCGACCGUGGAAUGCACUAACAUGGAGUGUGGUGGAGUCUCCUUCUUUGGAGGUUUUUAAAGAGAGGCUGGAUGUCCAUCUGUGAAGAGUGCUUUGAUUGUGUGU